RNAcentral lists this ribosomal RNA (459 nucleotides) under uncultured bacterium. RNAcentral describes it as "partial 16S ribosomal RNA". It matches the Rfam family "Bacterial small subunit ribosomal RNA", at positions 338 to 795 of the family's 1533-position model. The record is from RNAcentral.
CCUACGGGAGGCUGCAGUGAGGAAUAUUGGUCAAUGGCCGCAGGGCUGAACCAGCCAAGUCGCGUGAGGGAUGACGGUCCUAUGGAUUGUAAACCUCUUUUGUCAGGGAGCAAAGGGCGCCACGUGUGGCGCUUUGCGAGUACCUGAAGAAAAAGCAUCGGCUAACUCCGUGCCAGCAGCCGCGGUAAUACGGAGGAUGCGAGCGUUAUCCGGAUUUAUUGGGUUUAAAGGGGGCGCAGGCGGAAUGACAAGUCAGCGGUAAAAUUUCGGGGCUCAACCCCGUCGUGCCGUUGAAACUGGCGUUCUUGAGUGAGCGAGAAGUAUGCGGAAUGCGUGGUGUAGCGGUGAAAUGCAUAGAUAUCACGCAGAACUCCGAUUGCGAAGGCAGCAUACCGGCGCUCAACUGACGCUCAUGCACGAAAGCGUGGGUAUCGAACAGGAUUAGAUACCCGGGUAGUC